AGCCAAAUGGUGCAUUAUCUGAAUUUCCCUUCUAACGUCCUCCACAUCCUCAUCAGUUAACAAUUUUCUCUUUGCAAUAGAUUUGCACGCAUACUCUUUUCCAGCUGCUUUAUCAACACAAAGAAAUGUUGUACCAAAUUGCCCUUGUCCUAGUUUCUUCCCAAGUCUAUAGAACUCCUUGAAAUUACCCGUUUUAGUUUGUAAAACAGAUUCUACCUUGAGCCCUGCACUAGACACUCUUUUCAUUUGAGGGCCUUUCUUAGGUUUCGAGGGUUGUUCUGGUUUCUCAGGUUUUUCUGGUUUUGGCAUCAUUACUUGUUCUGGGGGACUAUUUUGGACAGGCAAAGGUGAUACUGGUUCUUUAGAUGUUAUCUCAUGGACAGAUUCUCCAUUAGCCUGAGAAAUAUUGUCAUCUGGUGAUCGGGUACGCCACAUUGCAGCAGAUACUGAUUGAAAAAAUCCAUUCUUGGAAAUGCUAGGACCUACGCAAGUAUUGCCCAUCUGUCUCCUUAAAAAGUCAAUCACUUCUAAAAUCUUCCUCCAACUCCAACAUCAAGAUCUAAUCUCAUUUACCAUAUUAACACAAUAUACACACAAUUGAUCUCUACUUUGAAGACUAAAAGAGUAUCAAACUAAAAGCUUGACUUGUAGCCUGUGAAAUGAACCGCAAGAGAUACCAUGAAAGGAAGGAAGAAGAACAAAUAGAAGUAACUAUCAGCGAAUUCUUGAAAUUAUUAUUUCUAUCAUUAAUAAUUGACUUAAUCGAGCAAACUGUGGUUAAAAACAAGAACUAUCCAAAAACAGAUAACAGAUAAAGAAUCCCACAAAGGAUCAUCAAAAUUCUAAAUCACUAAGCAAUCAACUUUCUGAUUUGAUUCAAUCCAUCAUUAAUAAGAUCCCAAAAGCUACAAAACAAGAACCUUGAGUGAUUGGAUCUAAGAAAACGUCAAUAACAAAGUAAAAUCUAUACAACACGAACUAAGAAGAAGUCUUACAAAAAUAGGGGCAAACAAACAAAUAAAAUAAAGCAAGGCAUGUCAAAGAUUGAAAAACUCAUCUAUAGACUGAACAAAAUAAUUAAGCAAAAACUACCCAAGUGAGAAAAUUAAGGGAAAAUAAUGAUAUUGAAAGAAAAAGGCAAAACUAUCAGGCAUACCAGGUCCUCUGGGCUGAAUUAAAAAAAUGAAGAAAGAGAAGUGGAUGAUGGGUGGGGAAGGACAAUGACU
Molecule: unclassified non-coding RNA, 1226 nt
Filed under: Hevea brasiliensis (rubber tree)
Lineage: Eukaryota; Viridiplantae; Streptophyta; Magnoliopsida; Malpighiales; Euphorbiaceae
Source: RNAcentral